This 265-nucleotide ribosomal RNA is filed under the name uncultured archaeon. Its description in RNAcentral is "partial 16S ribosomal RNA". It matches the Rfam family "Archaeal small subunit ribosomal RNA", at positions 717 to 982 of the family's 1478-position model. The record is from RNAcentral.
ACACGACUACAUUAGAUACCCCGGUAGUCCCAGCCGUAAACUAUGCUCGCUAGGUGUCAGGGACGGUGCGACCGUUUCUGGUGCCGCAGGGAAGCCGUGAAGCGAGCCACCUGGGAAGUACGGCCGCAAGGCUGAAACUUAAAGGAAUUGGCGGGGGAGCACAACAACGGGUGGAGCUUGCGGUUUAAUUGGAUUCAACACCGGAAAUCUUACCGGGACCGACAGCAACAUGAAGGCCAAGCUGAAGACUUUGCCGGAUUAGCUG